ACCAGUAUCUGUAUAUCCUAUUGUCAGUCUGCAACUCUUGGUAACACGUUUUCUUUUUUAUUUUUGAAUAUCAGGAGUGAAUUUGAAAACACACCAUGUAGCAUUCUGCUGCCUAAUUACCCAGUUUCAUCCCCCACAAGUUGCUUUCAAAGAAAAUCACUCUCCAAGGUCGUGCUCUCGUGGAUUAUAAUGAAAAGUCAACGAAGUGUUCUCAUGCUACAGGAAGCACUUCAGUGCUGUACUCUUUACUCUUUAAAAAGUUCCACUUCAAUAAUGUAUUGCUGAACCAAAUUAAAUGAGAUUUUCAGCAAAAUCAUCAUGAUAUUAAAUAGAAGGCUGCUAAAGGAACAUCCCCUCUAAUCU
Long non-coding RNA from Strigops habroptila (Kakapo), 363 nucleotides. RefSeq lists it as uncharacterized. NCBI's taxonomy places the organism in Eukaryota, Metazoa, Chordata, Aves, Psittaciformes, Psittacidae. The record is from RefSeq and is a predicted model, not a curated record. The transcript is spliced from 2 exons.